CCCUAACCGNGCGAAGGUNGCAUAAUCACUUGUUUCUUAAAUAGAGACUAGUAUCAACGGCAUCACGAAGACUACACGUCUCCUCCAUACAAUCAAUGAAACUGAUCUCCUCGUGAAGAAGCGAGGAUAUAUAUAUAAGACGAGAAGACCCCAUGGAGCUUAAAACAAAUUUCAAUUGCUCCCACCUAAAUCAUAAAAGCUGAGCAUUUCUGAUAAACAGUUUUAGGUUGGGGCGACCGCGGAGUAAAACAAAACCUCCACAAUGAACGUAAUAAAAUCCUAAUAAAAGAACUACAAUUCUAAUAAUCAACAUAUUGACACAAAUUGACCCAAAUAUUUUGAUCAAUGAACCAAGUUACCCUGGGGAUAACAGCGCAAUCCAUUUUAAGAGCCCUUAUCGACAAAUGGGUUUACGACCUCGAUGUUGGAUCAGGGUAUCCCAGUGGUGCAGCCGCUACUAAUGUGUUCGUUUGUUCAACGAUUAAAACCCUACGUGAUCUGAKUNC
RNAcentral lists this ribosomal RNA (506 nucleotides) under Leptopelis argenteus (Bagamoyo forest treefrog). RNAcentral describes it as "partial 16S ribosomal RNA". It matches the Rfam family "Bacterial large subunit ribosomal RNA", at positions 1940 to 2612 of the family's 2925-position model. Lineage: Eukaryota; Metazoa; Chordata; Amphibia; Anura; Arthroleptidae. The record is from RNAcentral.